UUAUUUCUAACUUUUAUCAGAUUUGCUUGCGGUGAUAAAAGUUAGCGAUAGGAAUCUUAACUAACGUAUUGCUUCGCCGUGAUAUCACCGAAGCAAUGCGUUUUUUU
This is a regulatory RNA element of 107 nucleotides. It matches the Rfam family "23S methyl RNA motif". The record is from Rfam.